This 3153-nucleotide long non-coding RNA is filed under the name Sus scrofa (pig). RNAcentral's name for it is "lncRNA (ENSSSCG00000063241.1)". The stretch from base 2815 to 2917 matches the Rfam family "ST7 antisense RNA 1 conserved region 1". The record is from RNAcentral. Lineage: Eukaryota; Metazoa; Chordata; Mammalia; Artiodactyla; Suidae.
UUUUUUAUUUUAAAUAACCCCUCCAUCAGAACAGUUAUUUCUUACAUUUAAAUCUCAGAUGAACUCUGUAAAUCAUUCACAAAAAUAUAUUCUUAAACUUGUAGCAAAGUAUAAAACUAAAGACUAUGACAGCCAAUAUAUGCAGCUAUACUUCCAAAUACCAAUUACAAAACAAAAUAAGCAAUAGAUAAGUCAUUUUAAAGAAACUUAAAGUUCAUGAUUAAUAUUCUGGUUUCUUAAUUCAGUUCAGAUAUUUUAUCAGACUAAGAUGUACAUAUUUUAACAAAACAUAUGAACCAAUUUAACAGGAAUUUAGAAGUAAAUUGUUUUUGACCUGAUUCCCAUAAAUGGUCAUUUAACUCCUAUUAUACAAUCCACAGGUGGUUACACUUCGUGAAACAAACUUUCAAGGAAGCUCACUAGAUGGUGGAAGACCAAAUCUUUAAACUCUUAUCUCUGAAGUAAAUUCAAGGACAGUAUCUUUGUAAGAUUUGGAAUUUCUUUUGGUAUAAUUGAUUUUUUAUACUUUCACACAAUACUCAGUAGAUAUUUACUGCCUAGGCACUGUGUGCCAAACUCAGGACUAUUUAUAAUAGAGGUAAAGAGGUCUGAACUAAACAACAACCAAUUGCUUAAAGGCUUCAGUUUACUAACGGAGAAGAAAGGUAUCAACUGGAUGUUGUGCUAAGCAUUUUUGAUACGCAUCUCAUUGAAUCUUUGCAACAAUCUAUGCAAUAGGUAACCCUUAGCACAGGUGAAGAAACUGGCUCAGGGAAACUCAGUAACUUGUGAAGCGCACCCAAUUAGUGAAUGGCGGGACCAGGAAUAGAGCCCUUCAUUGCAUGGCUUUAGGCCUGUGCUUUAAUAGCCCACUAAAAGAUUCUGGUGCUGCAACUCAGGGUGGCAUGGGAGUUGGUGUCACAAAGGAGGUGACAUUUCAAGUGCAUCUCCAAAUAAGCUGUGUUCAGGCAGUUGUGGCAGGGAGAAAAGGUUGGGUAGAGGGAUAGCACAAUUAAGUAUGUUAUAGGCAGGUCCUGUGGAGCAGGUCCAAAGAUGUGAAAGAAAAUGGUAUGUUUGCUGAAAUGCUGAUGGUAAGAAGAAUGCCUGGGGUGGGAUAUGACACUACAUAGGUUGGUCGGUGUGCCCUGCAGGGGUCUUGUGUACUAUUUAGAGUCUAUCCUUUAGGAGUGGAGUGGAAAGGCCUUAAGAGGUUUUAAGCAGAGUGAGCUGUCAAAUUUGUCCUUUAAGAGGUAACUCUGUCAAAGAGAUUUGGAAGAAGUUGGAUUGGAGGGUGGGUGGUGAGGGCUGGUGGUGGUGGUUGUGCUGGUUGUAGGGAAACUGGAGGCAGGGAGCCCACUGCCUUGUUCUCUGAGAGGGUCAGAAAAUGAGAGACUAAAAGCUACGGAAGGGGAGUAGAGAGAUCGGACAGAUAUGAAGCAUACCUUAAAAUAUUGAUGCCAUUUGAAUGUGGAGAGGAAAGGAGGUGAGUGAGAGGGAGGAAUCUGGAUGGAAUAAUCCUCAGACUCUUAAAUUAGGGAGUAGGAAGGGGGAUGCCCAUUCCCUGAUGGGACUCUAUGAGAAGGAGCAAUCGGGGAUGGAGAAGUAAUGAAUUCAGUUUCAGAUGUGAUGAGCUUGGGGUGACUGCGAGUCAGGCCACUGGGAGACCGUCAAGUGGUGGGGGAACAUAGCUGGGAUGUCACUAUUUCAUGAAUGGUCUCACUCAAUAGCCACCCUUUACUUUUUGUCCUUACCCUGCCUUGCCUGUAAGUCACCAAGCCCUGUCAAUUCUACCUCCUUAAUAUUUCUUUAAUUUCAUUUAUGUAAAUCUCUGGAUUGGUCAUUUGGAUUAGUAGUACAAUGCCAAAUAUCCGUGAACACCUUAGUACUUCUACAAGGCCCCUCAAAACCAGACAUUCUUCAGCUUUAUCCCUCUUGACACUACUCCAUGUAGCGCCUACACUCCAGCCAUAUGGAAGCAGCUGCAGUUCCCAAGAGAUUGUGUUCUCUCUUGAUUCUGCAUCCAAGCACAAAGACAUGUCUCCAACCCCAACUCUCAUCUCUGGCUGCACACCAGGGAGAGGCAAUGAUGAGUAAGACAAGACUGACCUUCCAGGAGUAGCUAGUAGACAAUCAGAAAAUUGUGGCUCAACUAGUCAUCUUUAUGUCCCUUCUUUGAGGUUUACUGACAGCAAAAACCAGGUCCCAGGAUACUCAUUUAAAUUAAGUUAGCAAUCCUAUUGCAGAGAAUCUGGUGGGUUACUUAGUCGUUACAUUAAGAUAAUGUUUCAAGUACUCCUGUUGUUCUAUCCUACUGAGAAUUGAGGCAUCAUUGUUAAAUAAAAAACUGUUUGGUAGAAUGCUGCAAUAAAUAUUUAUGAAAAAGUAUCUGUGUAUCAAUUUCUCUUGUUCUUGCCUGUAUCUCACUACUCUAGUAGACCAGAUGUAUGGAGCAACCAGUAGCUGAGAGACUGAAAUUAGUGAAAAUAUAAGAGUAGUUCUAUUAUGUACCCCAUAAUACAUAAAAUAUAUAUGUAAAAAGUUAAAGGAGCUUUAUUAUGAAGGAAACUAUAAGUAAGGAAAACAAAAUGUAUAAUAAAAUAUUCUGCUUUAUGCUCAGAAUUCUAAAAAUGUCUUGGCUGUAGGUUGGAUUAUCUGCAAUUGCUUCAUCACCAUCCAAUACAUACAAAGUGAAAUUACUUAUGGGCAGAAAUACACUUUAAAAUGUCAUUUGGUAAAGGCAACUUUUUAUUCAGGAUGGACCAAAAACAUUUAUAAUUUACUUCUUGUUUAAGUAGCCAGUUCAGAAUAAGCCAAAAUUAUCCCAGAGAGUUGUUUAAAAAUAGGCUGUUAUUUGAACUGUCAUCACCCCCUGAAUUGGAAGAUAAACAUUCUUCUUGUCAAGAUUUCUUAUUCAAGGAAGAAGAAAGUAAACAGUGUGCAACCCAAAUCUUGCUUAACAGAAUGAUUUAUCUUCACGGAAUUUCCAUUGUCGCUCAGCACAUAAAGAACUUGAUUAGUACAUGAGGCGGCAGGUUCCAUCCCUGGCCCUACUCAGUGGGUUAAGAAUCCAGCAUUGCCCUGAGCUGUGGUGUAGGCUGACGGCUACAGCUCCAAUUAGACCCCUAGCCUGGGAACUUCCAUGUGCCCCGGGUG